GGACACGCCCUGUCUGACUGUAUUUUCUAUGUAUUUUGAAGCCCACAUUAAAAUGCAUUUUUCAGAUCCUUUGAAAGUAAAAAGAUGAAAUGUAAUCACCGAUUAUAUAACUUUUAGGUGUUCAAACCCAUUUUAUAGAUAUAUAUUACCAAAAUAUAUUUCAUCUUAUGGUCACAAAUGUAUUCAAACGCACUAUAGCAAUCUUGGUAAGGCCACUACUUGCCCCUCAAAAUUUAAUAAUCCUAUUUGGAAUAGUGGUUAGUGUACCUGAAUGUUGAAUAUAAUGUUGCAGGUUUGAAAAACAGCCUGUCCAAUGCUACAGUAUAUUUAGACAUGCAUUUAAAAAAUGUGUUAAAUCGAUAUAAUAUAUUUAAGCUGCCAAUUUCAAACAUUGACAUAUAUUUUCCACAUGUAUUCAGAAAUAUAUUUUCCAAAUGUAUUCAGAAAUAUAUUUUCCAAAUGUAUUCAAAAAUAUAUUUAAAAUACAUUUAUUUUCUGUAUGGGAACAUAAAGUUGAAAAGUGCUGUCCCAUUGCCAUUCAUAGCAUUUAGAGCCCUUGCAGCCUCGUGCACUCAAUUACUUACCAGGUGACGCCAGUUAAGUCUGUGAGGGUUCAUGGCUUUGGGUUUAGGGGGGACAUUGGGAUUGGGCAAUUAUUUUGCACAAUGGUUCGCAUGAGGGGUGGUUCAUAUGGAACGCCAAAGGGAUCAGAAUUCAUGCAUUCAGCACCUACGGCUGUUCAGCAAACCCCCGCGCUUAUGGAAGGCCAAGUGAGUAAUAAACAGGACAUAUUACGUCGUCCCACGAGACACAAAAUAUGCUGUUAAGAAUUGUAUUAACAUAAUUUACACAUUAAGUGUAUGUUACAUUCAUGAACUGGGGAAAGCUGUCUUUAGCUACCUAGAUAACUAGUGCCUAGUUAUGACUGUUAGUUAUUGCCAAUGGCUUUUGUCUUGGUUGCAAUACUAUCCAUGUUACAUGGCUUUAGGGAACAUGGUUGUGUCUAAAAAGCAGCCUGUUUUAGAAUUCAGUGAAACAAGUUUUUCCCUGACAGUCAUGUGACCUCUCUUCCCCACAGUUGUCCCUAUUUGUACUCUCUUGCUAUCAGUUUGUGCCGUUUGACAUCCCAGUUUAGUUGGUCUGACUCACCUGUUACUGUACAGUGCAUCAUCUCCAGUGCAUUGUUCUAAAAGACGGUGUUGCAUCCAAUUAUGGAUCGAUUAGGCUUCCUCACAUCUCUGGGGUUGAAGGAUGGAACCCUGGGCAAAUGCUUUCAUAUACAUUCCUCUACAAGUCAGGAGGAUCAUCAUCAUCACACAACCCAACUUCCUGGACGUACAUGUUUGAGUCAUUGGCCCUUUGGAUGGUGAACGAGAACUUUGCUGAGUUUUCUGCUCAGUGACAUUGAACCAGAGAAGCACUCCCAUUCCCCAAUCCUUUCCAAACAAGAGACUGCUCACUUAAAUCUCAUGACGGUGUAUUUAAUGACCCACACAACUGCUUCAGAUUUUUAGCAGGAUGCAUUGGCCACACAGAAUCAAAGUCUUCACAACUAUGGGUAUUGGAACUUAAAUCAUUAGAAUCAACUAACAGGCAUGGGGGUUUAUGAUGUACAUAGGCAGUGUCUUGUUGUUAUACGUUUAGAGAUGUUAAUACAAUUCUUAAUGUUGUCACGUUAACAGUUCCAGAAUAAAGUAUACCUGAACUAGGGGCCAGCUCUCUCUGUGCAUUGCCCCUAAAUAUUGAACACAGUAGGAGCAGUCCCCAAGUGUAAAUAUGUAAGAACAGCCAUUUGGCAUCUUUAUCCUGACACUUAAUUCUGUCUGCUGCACAUCUUCUAAUAUCAAGGGAGAAGAGGAUCUUCAUGGUUAGAGGGUACAUGGUCUCUCCAAAUCUGAGGGAAAAAAACAUUUGAAGAAGUUAUUUUACUGUGGGGAGA
This is a long non-coding RNA of Esox lucius (northern pike), 1939 nucleotides long. The record is from Ensembl. NCBI's taxonomy places the organism in Eukaryota, Metazoa, Chordata, Actinopteri, Esociformes, Esocidae.